Molecule: ribosomal RNA, 465 nt
Filed under: uncultured bacterium
Lineage: Bacteria
Description: bacterial SSU rRNA
Rfam family: Bacterial small subunit ribosomal RNA
Source: RNAcentral
GACGAACGCUGGCGGCGUGCUUAACACAUGCAAGUCGAACGGUGACGAGGAGCUUGCUCCUCUGAUCAGUGGCGAACGGGUGAGUAACACGUGGGCAACCUGCCCCUGACUUCGGGAUAACGCUUCGAAAGAGGUGCUAAUACCGGAUAUGAGUCCCUCCGGCAUCUGAGGGACUGGAAAGUUUUUCGGUCAGGGAUGGGCCCGCGGCCUAUCAGCUUGUUGGUGAGGUAACGGCUCACCAAGGCGACGACGGGUAGCCGGCCUGAGAGGGCGACCGGCCACACUGGGACUGAGACACGGCCCAGACUCCUACGGGAGGCAGCAGUGGGGAAUAUUGCGCAAUGGGCGAAAGCCUGACGCAGCAACGCCGCGUGAGGGAUGACGGCCUUCGGGUUGUAAACCUCUUUCAGCAGGGAAGAAGCGAAAGUGACGGUACCUGCAGAAGAAGCACCGGCUAACUACGUG